GAACGAACGCUGGCGGCCUGCCUAACACAUGCAAGUCGAACGAGACCUUCGGGUCUCGUGGCGCACGGGUGCGUAACGCGUGGGAACCUGCCUUUAGGUUCGGAAUAACUCAGAGAAAUUUGAGCUAAUACCGGAUGAUGUCUUCGGACCAAAGAUUUAUCGCCUUUAGAUGGGCCCGCGUUGGAUUAGCUAGUUGGUGGGGUAAAGGCCUACCAAGGCGACGAUCCAUAGCUGGUCUGAGAGGAUGAUCAGCCACACUGGGACUGAGACACGGCCCAGACUCCUACGGGAGGCAGCAGUGGGGAAUAUUGGACAAUGGGCGAAAGCCUGAUCCAGCAAUGCCGCGUGAGUGAUGAAGGCCUUAGGGUUGUAAAGCUCUUUUACCCGAGAUGAUAAUGACAGUAUCGGGAGAAUAAGCUCCGGCUAACUCCGUG
RNAcentral lists this ribosomal RNA (434 nucleotides) under uncultured bacterium. RNAcentral describes it as "partial 16S ribosomal RNA". It matches the Rfam family "Bacterial small subunit ribosomal RNA", at positions 27 to 507 of the family's 1533-position model. The record is from RNAcentral.